GUCUUGGUAGCUCAGACGUCAGAAUACACUGGGCUAGUGACCCAGUGGUCGUGGGUUCAAGUCCCACCCAAGACA
Cydia pomonella (codling moth) is the source of this 75-nucleotide non-coding RNA. The record is from the annotation of a RefSeq genome assembly. NCBI's taxonomy places the organism in Eukaryota, Metazoa, Arthropoda, Insecta, Lepidoptera, Tortricidae.